This 440-nucleotide ribosomal RNA is filed under the name uncultured bacterium. RNAcentral describes it as "partial 16S ribosomal RNA". It matches the Rfam family "Bacterial small subunit ribosomal RNA", at positions 338 to 795 of the family's 1533-position model. The record is from RNAcentral.
CCUACGGGAGGCAGCAGUGGGGAAUAUUGCACAAUGGGGGAAACCCUGAUGCAGCGACGCCGCGUGAGUGAAGAAGGAUUUCGGUAUGUAAAGCUCUAUCAGCAGGGAAGAAAAUGACGGUACCUGAGUAAGAAGCCCCGGCUAACGACGUGCCAGCAGCCGCGGUAAUACGUAGGGGGCAAGCGUGAUCCGGAUUUACUGGGUGUAAAGGGAGCGGAGACGGCAGCACAAGUCUGGAGUGAACUGCCGGGGCUUAACCCCGGAACUGCUUUGGAAACUGUGCAGCUAGAGUGCAGGAGAGGUCAGUGGCAUUCCUCGUGUAGCGGUGACAUGCGUAGAUAUUAGGAGGAACACCAGUGGCGACGGCGGCUUACUGUACUGUACCUGACGUUGUGGCUCGACCGCGUGGGGAGCAAACAGGAUUAGAUACCCGUGUAGUC